UACGGAAGGGGCUAGUGUUACUCUACGUGAUUGGGCGUAAAGGGUACGUAGGUGGUUUUAUAAGUUUUUAGUUAAAUGUAUCUCGGUAGAGUAGAAGAGGCUGAAAAUACUAUAAGACUUGAGUGUAGUUAAAGAUAGUGGAACAUUUAGUGGAGGGAUAAAAUCUGGAGAUAUUAAAUGGAACACCUAUGGCGAAGGCAGCUAUCUAAAUUAUCACUGACACUGAGGUACGAAAGCAUGGGGAGCAAACAGG
RNAcentral lists this ribosomal RNA (253 nucleotides) under uncultured bacterium. Its description in RNAcentral is "partial 16S ribosomal RNA". It matches the Rfam family "Bacterial small subunit ribosomal RNA", at positions 524 to 776 of the family's 1533-position model. The record is from RNAcentral.